RNAcentral lists this ribosomal RNA (408 nucleotides) under uncultured bacterium. RNAcentral describes it as "partial 16S ribosomal RNA". It matches the Rfam family "Bacterial small subunit ribosomal RNA", at positions 28 to 526 of the family's 1533-position model. The record is from RNAcentral.
GACGAACGCUGGCGGCGUGCUUAACACAUGCAAGUCGAACGAAGUGGCGAACGGGUGAGUAACGCGUAAUCAACCUGCCCUUCAGAGGGGGACAACAGUUGGAAACGACUGCUAAUACCGCAUACUGAAGGAGGGGAUUGCGUCUGAUCGGCUCUGUGGAGGGGUAACGGCCCACCAAGGCGAUGAUCAGUAGCCGGUCUGGUAGGGAGAACGGCCAAAUGGGGAAUGAGACAAGGGCCAGACUCCUACGGGAGGCAGCAGUGGGGAAUCUUCCGCAAUGGAGGAAAGUCUGACGGAGCAACGCCGGGUGAGUGAUGACGGCCUUCGGGUUGUAAAGCUCUGUUAAUCGGGACGCGGUACCGGAAUAGAAAGCCACGGCUAACUACGUGCCAGCAGCCGCGGUAAUUC